AUAGCUUUAUACGACCCAUAAUGCGUAUAAAAACAGGCCGAGUCGGUCCGGCAGUGCACAAAGCCGACUCUAGUUGGAGUCCCAUCAGUCCAUGUACUCCAACUGGUCAUGGGAUGGUUUGGUGCGGGCGGCGGCUGGUGCUGCCUUUGUGCGAGCAGCGAGCGAGAGCGAGCAGGCGAGAGGUCGGCGCCAGGCUCUGGCGUGCACCAUGAGGCCUCGCGUCUUAGCGAGAGCGCGCCGGCCCCUACGGGAAACGGGCCGCGCUGAUCACGGGAAAUGGCGCUUGCGGGCGCUACCGUGGCACGAGGC
Molecule: long non-coding RNA, 309 nt
Filed under: Setaria viridis
Lineage: Eukaryota; Viridiplantae; Streptophyta; Magnoliopsida; Poales; Poaceae
Description: long non-coding RNA (SVIR_LNC011384)
Source: RNAcentral